GCUUUCGUGGUGUAGUGGUCAGCACGCUCGACGCGUAUUCGAGAGGUCCGUGGUUCGAAUCCCUGCGAGGGCA
RNAcentral lists this transfer RNA (73 nucleotides) under Stegodyphus dumicola. Its description in RNAcentral is "tRNA-Thr". It matches the Rfam family "tRNA". From Rfam's summary of the family: Transfer RNA (tRNA) molecules are approximately 80 nucleotides in length. Their secondary structure includes four short double-helical elements and three loops (D, anti-codon, and T loops). Further hydrogen bonds mediate the characteristic L-shaped molecular structure. tRNAs have two regions of fundamental functional importance: the anti-codon, which is responsible for specific mRNA codon recognition, and the 3' end, to which the tRNAs corresponding amino acid is attached (by aminoacyl-tRNA synthetases). tRNAs cope with the degeneracy of the genetic code in two manners: having more than one tRNA (with a specific anti-codon) for a particular amino acid; and 'wobble' base-pairing, i.e. permitting non-standard base-pairing at the 3rd anti-codon position. The record is from RNAcentral. Lineage: Eukaryota; Metazoa; Arthropoda; Arachnida; Araneae; Eresidae.